AACCCAUGAUGAGGGCACAUUCUCAAAAGAUCUUUAAAUCUCUCUCAUGCAUCAUAUAAUGUCUCCAAUUCAAUUUGAUAAAAAGAAGAGAUAUCAUUCCUUAACUU
This 107-nucleotide small nucleolar RNA is filed under the name Gossypium arboreum. RNAcentral's name for it is "Plant small nucleolar RNA R71". It matches the Rfam family "Plant small nucleolar RNA R71". From Rfam's summary of the family: R71 is a member of the C/D box family of snoRNAs containing the C (UGAUGA) and D (CUGA) box motifs. Multiple nearly identical copies of this snoRNA have been identified in Arabidopsis, and it is thought to function as a 2'-O-ribose methylation guide for 18S ribosomal RNA. The record is from Rfam by way of RNAcentral. Lineage: Eukaryota; Viridiplantae; Streptophyta; Magnoliopsida; Malvales; Malvaceae.